RNAcentral lists this ribosomal RNA (384 nucleotides) under uncultured bacterium. RNAcentral describes it as "bacterial SSU rRNA". It matches the Rfam family "Bacterial small subunit ribosomal RNA", at positions 30 to 414 of the family's 1533-position model. The record is from RNAcentral.
AUUGAACGCUGGCGGCAUGCCUUACACAUGCAAGUCGAACGGCAGCACGGGAGCAAUCCUGGUGGCGAGUGGCGAACGGGUGAGUAAUGUAUCGGAACGUACCUUUCAGUGGGGGAUAACGUAGCGAAAGUUACGCUAAUACCGCAUAUUCUGUGAGCAGGAAAGCAGGGGAUCGCAAGACCUUGCGCUGAUUGAGCGGCCGAUAUCAGAUUAGCUAGUUGGUGAGGUAAAGGCUCACCAAGGCGACGAUCUGUAGCGGGUCUGAGAGGAUGAUCCGCCACACUGGAACUGAGACACGGUCCAGACUCCUACGGGAGGCAGCAGUGGGGAAUUUUGGACAAUGGGCGCAAGCCUGAUCCAGCCAUGCCGCGUGAGUGAAGAAGG